RNAcentral lists this ribosomal RNA (475 nucleotides) under uncultured organism. RNAcentral describes it as "partial 16S ribosomal RNA". It matches the Rfam family "Bacterial small subunit ribosomal RNA", at positions 334 to 800 of the family's 1533-position model. The record is from RNAcentral.
CACUCCUGCGGGAGGCAGCAGUGGGGAAUAUUGCACCAUGGGCGCAAGCCUGAUGCAGCCAUGCCGCGUGUGUGAAGAAGGCCUUCGGGUUGUAAAGCACUUUCAGCGGGGAGGAAGGCGAUACGGUUAAUAACCGUGUUGAUUGACGUUACCCGCAGAAGAAGCACCGGCUAACUCCGUGCCAGCAGCCGCGGUAAUACGGAGGGUGCAAGCGUUAAUCGGAAUUACUGGGCGUAAAGCGCACGCAGGCGGUCUGUCAAGUCGGAUGUGAAAUCCCCGGGCUCAACCUGGGAACUGCAUUCGAAACUGGCAGGCUUGAGUCUUGUAGAGGGGGGUAGAAUUCCAGGUGUAGCGGUGAAAUGCGUAGAGAUCUGGAGGAAUACCGGUGGCGAAGGCGGCCCCCUGGACAAAGACUGACGCUCAGGUGCGAAAGCGUGGGGAGCAAACAGGAUUAGAUACCCCAGUAGUCCCAUGA